AGCAGCCGCGGUAAUUCCAGCUCCAAUAGCGUAUAUUAAAGUUGUUGCAGUUAAAAAGCUCGUAGUUGAAUUUCGGGAUUAGUACGUUGGUCGUGCCUUAGGUACGUACUGGUGUUACUGGUUCCUACCUUCUGACGAACCAUCAUGUCAUUAAUUUGGUGUGGCGGGGAAUCAGGACUGUUACUUUGAAAAAAUUAGAGUGUUUAAAGCAGGCUCGCGCUUGAAUACAUUAGCAUGGAAUAAUGAAAUAGGACGUUGACCCUAUUUUGUUGGUUUCUAGGAUUGACGUAAUGAUUAAUAGGGAUAGUUGGGGGCAUUAGUAUUCAAUUGUCAGAGGUGAAAUUCUUGGAUUUAUUGAAGACUGACUACUGCGAAAGCAUUUGCCAAGGAUGUUUUCAUUAAUCAAGAACGAAAGUUAGGGGAUCGAAGACGAUCAGAUACCGUCGUAGUCUUAACCAUAAACUAUGCCGACUAGGGAUCGGAUGAUGUUAUUUUUAAUGACUCAUUCGGCGCCUUACG
Molecule: ribosomal RNA, 519 nt
Filed under: uncultured Glomeromycotina
Lineage: Eukaryota; Fungi; Glomeromycota
Description: SSU rRNA
Rfam family: Eukaryotic small subunit ribosomal RNA
Source: RNAcentral